This 218-nucleotide long non-coding RNA is filed under the name Felis catus (domestic cat). RNAcentral's name for it is "lncRNA (ENSFCAG00000051641.1)". Lineage: Eukaryota; Metazoa; Chordata; Mammalia; Carnivora; Felidae. The record is from RNAcentral.
AGAACAGAACUCAUCUCCUGUGACUGCCGGUGGCUGCUUCAUUUGCUACCACAGGCUAAUUAUUUCUGGGAGAUAUUUCUGCAUCUGGAGAAGGAGUCAGUUAUUAUAAUUGAGUGCACCGCAAAACAAAAGUUGUGCUGUAAGUACAUCAAGGGCAGGGGAUCACAUCUUCUCGGUGUUUUAUCAACUUCCAUAAAUCACUUCGGGCCCGUGGCUUC